This 1014-nucleotide long non-coding RNA is filed under the name Anser brachyrhynchus (Pink-footed goose). Its description in RNAcentral is "lncRNA (ENSABRG00000010881.1)". The record is from RNAcentral. Lineage: Eukaryota; Metazoa; Chordata; Aves; Anseriformes; Anatidae.
GCCGGUCAUGUUUGAGACUUAUCAGCUGAUUUUGCUGUUCUAAAUAUAAAUGAUCUUUUGUGCUCCUAGCCUUUUAGUGUGUUCAGGCAAAGGCAGUGAUUUAUUUGCUGAUAAAUCUAGGAUAAUCCAAUGUCAUAGGGUAUUGACUGUCUAAAAGAUUUGAUAAUGGAAUAUUGAGCUUUUCAAUUGCAGAUCAUUUAACAUUUAUCCUUGACCAGAAUAACUGCAGAAAACCCAGUAUCUAAGUGGCCUUGCAGAUUGUUUGACAACCCCAGUUUAUAGCAAAACAGUACCUUCCUCAUUCAAGAGUUUCUUGGAAAGCAGAGAGGGACAACCUCAAGAAAUGUCCUGAAAUAAUCCAGAAUGAAUGCCUGUAGAAUGCAAAUUACACUUUUUCUGUCAGAGAUGAACCUUUCAGACCACGUUCUGAGGCAGACACCCUAGCACUGUUUCUACCCGUCUUCCCUUGAGACAGAGGAAAAGAAGGGAACUGAGGGAUACUAAAUGCCUUUAUUCAGCUCUUCUGAAGCACGCUACCCUCACGCACAGAACAGCUGGAAGUCAGGGGAGCCAAGGGAAGCGAUCACACUUCCUUUCCCAGAAGCAAAGCUACUGCAGUCCCUUGUUCUGGCUCUUCUGCUUCCCAAGCCCAUGAGAUAUAAAGCACAGGCUGAGCUACAGUCGAAAGAACAAAUCAUCCAAAGCCACAACCUGUGCUUUCUUGGAGAAGGAAGUUUUUCAGAAAUGCAGGGAAAAUGGCUCUCUGCCACAUCUUGCCUGAAGACCAUACAUAUAUCACUGGAGAUCAGAGGAAGAGAUGACACACGCUGGCAUCAGGCAGGAUUUAUGGAAAGCUGCUCCUGUGACAGUCGUCUCCUACAUGACCUCUUGCAGUUCCUUCUAAGACUUCUUUCUUUUACUCCUUGUAAAUAUUCCUGGUGCAGAGGCAUUGAAAUAUUACAAAAAAAUAUUUGUAUACUCAUAAGGCAGAUGGAUGUGCUAAUUUCUCCAUGA